CCGGCAUCUUAGUGGCGGACGGGUGAGUAACGCGUGGGUAACCUGCCUUAUACAGGGGGAUAACACUUAGAAAUAGGUGCUAAUACCGCAUAAGCGCACGGGGCUGCAUGGCCCAGUGUGAAAAACUCCGGUGGUAUAAGAUGGACCCGCGUCUGAUUAGCUUGUUGGCGGGGUAACGGCCCACCAAGGCGACGACCAGUAGCCGGCCUGAGAGGGUGGACGGCCACAUUGGGACUGAGACACGGCCCAAACUCCUACGGAAGGCAGCAG
Molecule: ribosomal RNA, 270 nt
Filed under: uncultured bacterium
Lineage: Bacteria
Description: partial 16S ribosomal RNA
Rfam family: Bacterial small subunit ribosomal RNA
Source: RNAcentral